RNAcentral lists this ribosomal RNA (499 nucleotides) under uncultured bacterium. RNAcentral's name for it is "partial 16S ribosomal RNA". It matches the Rfam family "Bacterial small subunit ribosomal RNA", at positions 30 to 523 of the family's 1533-position model. The record is from RNAcentral.
AUUGAACGUUGGCGGCAGGCUUUACACAUGCAAGUCGAACGGUAACAGGGUGCUUGCACCGCUGACGAGUGGCGAACGGGUGAGUAAUGCGUCGGAACGUGCCGAGUAGUGGGGGAUAACGCAGCGAAAGUUGUGCUAAUACCGCAUACGUACUGAGGUAGAAAGUGGGGGACCUUCGGGCCUCACGCUAUUCGAGCGGCCGACGUCUGAUUAGCUAGUAGGUGAGGUAAAGGCUCACCUAGGCGACGAUCAGUAGCGGGUCUGAGAGGAUGAUCCGCCACACUGGGACUGAGACACGGCCCAGACUCCUACGGGAGGCAGCAGUGGGGAAUUUUGGACAAUGGGCGAAAGCCUGAUCCAGCCAUGCCGCGUGUCUGAAGAAGGCCUUCGGGUUGUAAAGGACUUUUGUCAGGGAGGAAAUCCCUAGUGCUAAUAACACUGGGGGAUGACAGUACCUGAAGAAUAAGCACCGGCUAACUACGUGCCAGCGCCGCCGUAA